Molecule: ribosomal RNA, 424 nt
Filed under: uncultured cyanobacterium
Lineage: Bacteria; Bacillati; Cyanobacteriota
Description: bacterial SSU rRNA
Rfam family: Bacterial small subunit ribosomal RNA
Source: RNAcentral
UGGUGGGGUAAGAGCUCACCAAGGCGACGAUCGGCAGCCGUUUUGAGAGGAAGAACGGCCACACUGGGACUGAGUCACGGCCCAGACUCCUACGGGAGGCCGCAGUGGGGAAUCUUCCGCAAUGGGCGCAAGCCUGACGGAGCCAGACCGCGUGGGGGAGGAAGGCCCUUGGGUUGUAAACCCCUUUUCUCAGGGAAGAAACCUGAGGGUACCUGAGGAAAAAGCCUCGGCUAACUCCGUGCCAGCAGCCGCGGUAAUACGGACGAGGCAAGCGUUAUCCGCUAUUACUGGGCGUAAAGCGUUCGUAGGGGGCUUGUCAAGUCUGCUGUCAAAGCUCGGAGCUCAACUCCGAAGGGGCAGUGGAAACUGGGGAGCUAGAGGGCGGCAGGGGCAGUAGGAAUUCCCGGUGUAACGGUGAAAUGCG